This 1205-nucleotide ribosomal RNA is filed under the name metagenome. RNAcentral describes it as "bacterial SSU rRNA". It matches the Rfam family "Bacterial small subunit ribosomal RNA", at positions 215 to 1437 of the family's 1533-position model. The record is from RNAcentral.
UCGCUUUCCGAUAAGACUGUACGGUAUCAGUUUGUUGGUGAGGUAAUGGCUCACCAAGACUAUGACGCCUAACUGGUUUGAGAGGAUGAUCAGUCACUGGAACUGAGACACGGUCCAGACUCCUACGGGAGGCAGCAGUGGGGAAUAUUGCACAAUGGAGGAAACUCUGAUGCAGCAACGCCGCGUGGAGGAUGACACAUUUCGGUGCGUAAACUCCUUUUAUAUAAGAAGAUAAUGACGGUAUUAUAUGAAUAAGCUCCGGCUAACUCCGUGCCAGCAGCCGCGGUAAUACGGGGGGAGCAAGCGUUACUCGGAAUCACUGGACGUAAAGAGCAUGUAGGCUGGUAGAAAAGUUAGAAGUGAAAUCCUGUGGCUUAACCAUAGAACUGCUUCUAAAACUCUCUACCUAGAAUAUGGGAGAGGUAGAUGGAAUUUCUGGUGUAGGGGUAAAAUCCGUAGAGAUCAGAAGGAAUACCGAUUGCGAAGGCGAUCUACUGGAACAUUAUUGACGCUGAGAUGCGAAAGCGUGGGGAGCAAACAGGAUUAGAUACCCUGGUAGUCCACGCCCUAAACGAUGCACACUAGUUGUUGCCAUACUAGAUAUGGCAGUAAUGCAGUUAACACAGUAAGUGUGCCGCCUGGGGAGUACGGUCGCAAGAUUAAAACUCAAAGGAAUAGACGGGGACCCGCACAAGCGGUGGAGCAUGUGGUUUAAUUCGACAUACGCGAAGAACCUUACCUGGCCUUGACAUAGAAAGAACUUUCCAGAGAUGGAUUGGUGCUAGCUUGCUAGAACUUUCAUACAGGUGCUGCACGGCUGUCGUCAGCUCGUGUCGUGAGAUGUUGGGUUAAGUCCCGCAACGAGCGCAACCCUCGUGUUUAGUUACUAACAGUUCGGCUGAGGACUCUAGACAGACUGCCUUCGUAAGGAGGAGGAAGGUGAGGACGACGUCAAGUCAUCAUGGCCCUUACGGCCAGGGCUACACACGUGCUACAAUGGGGCAUACAAAGAGCAGCGAUACCGCGAGGUGGAGCAAAUCUCAUAAAAUGCCUCCCAGUUCGGAUAGCAGUCUGCAACUCGACUGCUUGAAGUUGGAAUCGCUAGUAAUCGUAGAUCAGCAAUGCUACGGUGAAUACGUUCCCGGGUCUUGUACUCACCGCCCGUCACACCAUGGGAGUUGAUUUCAUUCGAAGCGGGGAUGAGC